AUACGUAGGGAGCGAGCGUUGUCCGGAAUUACUGGGUGUAAAGGGAGCGUAGGCGGGAUGGCAAGUCAGAUGUGAAAACUAUGGCUCAACCCAUAGACUGCAUUUGAAACUGUUGUUCUUGAGUGAAGUAGAGGUAAGCGGAAUUCCUGGUGUAGCGGUGAAAUGCGUAGAUAUCAGGAGGAACAUCGGUGGCGAAGGCGGCUUACUGGGCUUUUACUGACGCUGAGGCGCGAAAGCGUGGGUAGCAAACAGGAUUAGAUACCCUGGUAGUCCACGCUGUAAACGAUGAUUACUAGGUGUGGGGGGACUGACCCCUCCCGUGCCGCAGUUAACACAAUAAGUAAUCCACCUGGGGAGUACGGCCGCAAGGUUGAAACUCAAAUGAAUUGGCAGGG
RNAcentral lists this ribosomal RNA (395 nucleotides) under uncultured bacterium. Its description in RNAcentral is "partial 16S ribosomal RNA". It matches the Rfam family "Bacterial small subunit ribosomal RNA", at positions 523 to 918 of the family's 1533-position model. The record is from RNAcentral.